Molecule: non-coding RNA, 29 nt
Filed under: Rattus norvegicus (Norway rat)
Lineage: Eukaryota; Metazoa; Chordata; Mammalia; Rodentia; Muridae
Source: RNAcentral
UGAGGUUGCAACAUUUUAAGAGAUAGCCU